Molecule: ribosomal RNA, 409 nt
Filed under: Bacillota bacterium
Lineage: Bacteria; Bacillati; Bacillota
Description: Firmicutes bacterium partial 16S ribosomal RNA
Rfam family: Bacterial small subunit ribosomal RNA
Source: RNAcentral
UGGGGAAUAUUGGACAAUGGGCGGAAGCCUGAUCCAGCAACGCCGCGUGAGGGAUGACGGCCUUCGGGUUGUAAACCUCUUUCAGCACCGACGAAGCGAGAGUGACGGUAGGUGCAGAAGAAGGACCGGCCAACUACGUGCCAGCAGCCGCGGUAAUACGUAGGGUCCGAGCGUUGUCCGGAAUUAUUGGGCGUAAAGGGCUCGUAGGCGGUUUGUCGCGUCGGGAGUGAAAACACCGGGCUUAACUCGGUGCUUGCUUUCGAUACGGGCAGACUGGAGGUAUGCAGGGGAGAGCGGAAUUCCUGGUGUAGCGGUGAAAUGCGCAGAUAUCAGGAGGAACACCGGUGGCGAAGGCGGUUCUCUGGGCAUUACCUGACGCUGAGGAGCGAAAGUGUGGGGAGCGAACAGG